RNAcentral lists this ribosomal RNA (398 nucleotides) under uncultured bacterium. Its description in RNAcentral is "bacterial SSU rRNA". It matches the Rfam family "Bacterial small subunit ribosomal RNA", at positions 362 to 776 of the family's 1533-position model. The record is from RNAcentral.
UAUUGCACAAUGGGGGAAACCCUGAUGCAGCGACGCCGCGUGAGUGAAGAAGUAUUUCGGUAUGUAAAGCUCUAUCAGCAGGGAAGAAGCAAGACGGUACCUGACUAAGAAGCACCGGCUAACUACGUGCCAGCAGCCGCGGUAAUACGUAGGGGGCAAGCGUUAUCCGGAUUUACUGGGUGUAAAGGGAGCGUAGACGGUAUGGCAAGUCUGAAGUGAAAGCCCAGGGCUUAACCCUGGGACUGCUUUGGAAACUGUUAGACUAGAGUGCUGGAGAGGUAAGUGGAAUUCCUAGUGUAGCGGUGAAAUGCGUAGAUAUUAGGAGGAACACCAGUGGCGAAGGCGGCUUACUGGACAGUAACUGACGUUGAGGCUCGAAAGCGUGGGGAGCAAACAGG